Molecule: long non-coding RNA, 6740 nt
Filed under: Homo sapiens (human)
Lineage: Eukaryota; Metazoa; Chordata; Mammalia; Primates; Hominidae
Description: HSALNT0329460
Source: RNAcentral
CUCUGUCUCAAAAAAAAAAAAAAAAGUUCGCUCUGUAUGUUUUUGGUAUUUGUACUGAAGUGCAGAUAAAUUUGCAAGAUGCAAAAAUAGUUUGCCCUAUUUUACAGACAACAUUAUGAAAAUAACUACUGUUGAUUCAUUCUCAGAAGAAUAGCUGAAGAAGAUUCAGGGGCAGAGAUUACAGAGGGAAGACAGACAAUGCAAGUUGAAGCUCACAGGACAAGGGCACUGAUUGUGUCUCUGUGUGUGUGCAUGCACAAAUGCACAAAAGAAACAGAGUAAGAGCAGAAGCUGAUGUGGUCUAACACAGGAGUCCUCAAACCCCAGGCCACAGACUGGAAGGUGUGUUAGGAACCUGGCCGCACAGCAGGAGUUGAGCAGCAGAAAGGCAUCAAAAGAAAGCCUAAGUGUGAAAUAAUACUCAUCAUUAAGAAGUAAAGAGCCACACAAAUCAACAGUUUGGCUUAGAUUAGAUUAAUCUCUUAUUUUGCCCAAAUAUUAUCUUAAAGUCUGAAAAAAUGUCUAAUUCAACUAAGAAGAAAUUUACUCUAAUAAUUAUAUAAAGACAGGAAAACAACAAAUAUAGGAACAAAUUGAAGGAUGUCUAAAUCUGCUGUUAUCACAGGCUGAUUUUCCACAUGUAUGCAUGUAUGUAUGUAUAUAUGUAUAUAUUUGUUGAGCUAUUAUAUCAAUUGUUUACUUAUUAAUUCAUGUAUUCAUGUAUAUUCUGGCAAGUCACAGAUAUUACUGACUUAUAGACUAACAAAUGGAGCAUGGGGUCACCUAAUUCAGUGUACUCACUCAUAUUGCCUCGGGUAGGGCCUUUACACAAAGUAAGCACUCAAUAAAUAGAUGCUGGAUUGGUGAACUGUGCAGCUGAGGGUGCUGAGCCCAGACGGACAUGUCCAGGAUCACUCAGCCAUGAAUCAGGAGGGCCAGUCUCUGGUGGUCAGCCCAUUACAUGUUCUAUUAUGCCCAGCCUCAUCCUCCUUAGCAGCCUCACUUUCCUAUUUCUGAAAAAAAGAUAAGCAAUUUGGAGACAUACCUGGCUCAAUAAAGCAAUAAUGUGCUUGCCCUCAUUGUUUUUCUAUCACCAAUGAUGAAGGAUACACUUUUUGUUUUUGUUUUUUAAGGGAAAACAUUGAAAUGAAUGGUUUCAAGUAUACUAAACAAUAUUGCUGCCCUAAAUUACCCCCCAAAUUACAUAAAUCUCAGAGUACACAAAUAUUAUAGAGUAGUUAUUUAAUAUGUGAUGUGCCCCAAGUAUCUAUGUUUCUGUGCUACUGUGGAGGUCAUGCUUUAUUAUUUGAGCUACAAGGAAGCUCCAGGAGAAGUGCAGGAAGCUCCUUUAAUAGAUUUAUACUCUGGCCCUGAAUUUUAAAAAUGUUUACCUAUGGAAAAAUACAAUUCACAACUCUUCAACAUUUUACCUUUACUUGGCAUCAUUUCUCUAAAUACAUUAGAAAAAUGGAUUUCUAGGUCUCUAGUGUGUAUGAAAUACAGCUUUAUCCUUCUUUCUCAUGCUUCCAUUUACCCAUCCAGUCAGCAUUUAUUCAUGCAGCCCCUAUUAUAUGCUAAGAACACGAUUAGAUUUUAGAACCUGGAUAUUCAAAGUAUGGAUCAGCAGCAUCGGUACCCAGAAUCAUAGAAUCAGAACCUACAUUUUAACAAGACUCCCCCAGCUGACUCAUAUGCACAUUAAAGUUGGGGAACCACUAUAAAGACACAGCCCUACCCUUGAGAUUUACAGUCUAUCACAGGAAAGAGUCAGGGCCACAGCCAGCCCAAACGGAACAGUAGGGCACACAUUGAAAAGAUGCCGAUCCCCAGAUGGAGGAAGCCCUGUGGGCACAUGCACUGGCAAGUGGAGGAGUUUUUGUACAAAUUAGAAAAAGGAGUCUCUUCUUCAAGGUGGUCCAUCCCACAUACCUAGACUCAGGGAUAUGGAAAGCGGUGUGCAGGCCACAUUCUAACAUUUGGUUGCUCUGUGCAACCACCAGCUUUUACGGUGUGUCCCUGAAAUAGUAAUGUUUUCUCCCUCCCUCACUCCUUCUCUCUCUCUCUUUUUUGUUUUUCAUUGUUCCAAGCUCUUUUAUUAAUCUUAACUCAGUUAAUCCUGACAACAAAUCUAUGAGGUAGGCAUUAUUAUUACACACUUUUCACACUCAUGAAAUUGAGGAAUAGAAGUUAGUAAAAUAACUUGCCAUAGGUCACACAUACAACCAGUAAGUGGUAGUUGGGGGAUGCAGUCACAGGUAGUUUGGGUCAGGGUCAGCUCUGUUCACAACUAGUGUUAAUGAAGACAGACCUUAUAAUUUUGUCUUUUUUUUUUUUUUUUUUUUUUCUUUCAGAAAUUGGCAUGCCACCUUUCAUUCUGUCUGUUUGAGAGAUUGAUUGUUUUCCCUAAGGAGCUGAUCGUAUAUUAUUCUGGGAAGCCUGAGUGUUAUCUUACAGGCUACAGAGAACACUACAGGAACUGUCCAAGUCGUGCUAUUAUCUGGUUUAAUUUUCAGGAAUAUGACCCUGGUAGCAAUAAAAGAAAAAAAAUGGCAGGAAUGUUUGAAGGAAGUCCCUAAAACUAUGUAGGCAAGAGAUAAUGAGGCACUGGAGGAGGUGGGGGACCCCAAGCAGCAAGGCUGGAAGACUCUCCCUAUAAAUGGGCAGGUGGGUGAGAAGAGGAGAAGUGAAAGUUUAUAUUUUCUUUUUUAGUAGAUUUUUAAAAUUUUAUAUUUGUGUUCUUUAAGGUUAUAUGGAUGGGUUUGAUAGUUUAAUUUAUGCUUUUUAAAUUUAAUGUUUAAAUGUGUAUAGUAAUCUGAGGAUAGCAAGUGAAUGUGGAAUUAAAAAGAACAAAAGGAAAAAGAAGCAGACACAAUGUCAUGUUACUCCUUUAACAUUUUUAGCGAAUGAAAUAAAUUUUAAAUAGAUAGGCUACCUUUUAUUUAUUUUUUCAUGGGUAUAAAAACAUGCUUUCUAUUUUAAUUUGCCUUUUUGCGUAGACUAAAAUUUCCCUUUGAGUCUAAUGAUAUUAAGAGGAGUGAUAGUAAGUAGAAAAGAAAACAAAAGGAAUAAAAUAUUCUAUCAAGUUAGGGGAAAAGCCUGUCUUUCCUUUAGUUUUGUAAUCAUUACUCAAUAAUUAAUUAUUGAUCCUGGAGUUUUCGAAUUUGGGAAAUGACAUGAAUGCUGAGUCAAGAAUAUAAGCAAUGAACCUCUAUGAAGGGAAGAUAAACCCUUCAGUUGAGAGUCUCAGGUUGAAUAUGUCAAGGAGAAGCCUGGAAUACAGACCAGGUGCUGCUGCCAGUGGGAGAGGGAAAAAGUGGCCAUGGGGAGCUCCUCCCUGCGACCUGAGGCCCCUCAAAGCUGUUUAGCACACUAAAUACACGCGUAAUGAAUCAAGCAUACAAAGAAACAGUUAGGAUGUUUAGCACAUCUCUAUCUUCCUCAAGCAGGCACCCUUCUUAUUCCUGCAAUCAUGGCUACAAAAUUUCAUGUUUGUAGAAACAGGCUGGGAAAUGCUGAACUGCACAGAAAGGUAGUCUAGAGGAAGGAAAUGCUGAACUGCAUAGAAAGGCAGUCUAGAGGAAGGAGCAUCUGCUUUGAAGUCAGUCAGUCCUGAGUUGGAGUUCUGGAUAUCUACUUUCUAAAUGCAACCUCGGGCCUACUAUAUAUCCUCUCUGCACCUCAGUUCCCCUACCUGUACAAUGAGAGGGUUUGAUACCCUCAUCUAGGGGUUAAGGUAGAAUGACCACAUUUCCUCAACUUCCUAGGAUAGUGUUUGUUUAUAUCCUUUGCCUCUAAGUCAUUAACAGUGUUCCCUUUCAUUCUAAAAUGGUCCCAAUUUGAAAAAAUUAUAUGCUCCCUCCUCAUCAUAAGGAUAUUAAAUGAUUUGAUGUGUGUAAAGCCAGCAUUGAGCUUUUAGUCAUCAUGUUCCUUCCUCCUAUCAGUAUGUGAAAGAAAGAGGAAAAUUUGGCAGAAUUAUCAUUACUGUAGCCUCGCUUAAUGACACACCUGGGAUACAAAAGCACCCAGCAUUCCUAUUUCAUGGACACUUAGGUAAAGCACUUUAAUAAAGUGCUUUACAGAGGGUAAUCUAAGGAAGAAAAUUUCACCUCCAUUAAAAGAAAAGACAAAAUUCUUCAUUUUAAGGUUACAUGUGGAAAAAGGAAAUCGAUGAUAGUUUGCAAAAAUACUACUGAAAAGUAUCAUACUUGACAGCAGAUGUUCCAGUUUAUCCUCUGCAUAUACAGAAAAAUAGCCUAAGGUUAAUGAGAAUCACCACUAUAUAAUACAUACACAUACACACACAUAUGUGUCUGUAUAUAUAUAUAUAUACACACACACACAUAUAUACAUUAUAUAUAUGUAUGUGUAUAUGUGUGUGUGUGUGUAUAUAUAGACAGAUAGAGAGAUGUAGUAAUUGUAGAUGUGCAAUCAGUUGCUUACUUAGAAUAACCUGCUUCACUGAUAAAAACAACUGGGUAAAUUCUGAUUGUUUUGUUAAGUUUAUCUGCAUUUAAAACAUUAUAAAUGCCCUGACUUAUAAAUAUUGAAAACAAAGCUAAAAUAUUAGUUACUAAUUCUCUUAGUCCAUUCUUACCUCCCUGAAAUGAAAUACAUGAGGCUGGGUAAUUUAUAAGGAAAAACUGUUUAAUUGGCUCAGAGUUCUACAUGCUGUACAAGAUGUGUGGUGCUGGCAGCUGCUCCUAGUGAGAGUCUCAGGAAGCUUACCAGUGCUUGCGGAAAGUGAAGAGGGAGCAGGCAUGUCACCUGAAAAACAGGGAGCAAGAGGGGCAGGGGGAGUGGCAUGUUCUUUUAAACAACCAGAUCUCACAGGAACUCAGAGUGCUAACUCACUAACCGAAGGGAUGGUGCUAAGCCAUUCACGGAAUCUGCCUCCAUGGUCCAAUCCCCUCCCACCAGGCCCUACCUCCAACAUUGAGAAUCACAUUUCAACAUGAGAUAUGGAGGAGACAAACAUCCAAAGCAAAACAUUAAUGCUGAGAAUUUAAUGGAAAUGCAGCAGUGUUAUUCUGAGCAUCAAGAAAAAUGAUCUGGAAGCAUCAAUAUUUAACAGAUUUAUGAUGUGUUUGAUACCAGAUAAGUAGCUGGACAUCUGUAGUUUUGAAGAAACUUUUGGUGGUGAAAUUUUAGAAAAUUUAGAAAUUUUAGAAAAAUUAACAUCUUUACAAACUUUUGUAGUCACACUGAAAAUAUGAAGGAAAAAUAAAAAAAAUUUGUUUAUUAUGCUCUAAGCUUGUUUAUGAACAAAAAAACCAGGGAAACAAAAACAGCCACCCAGAAAGUAGACAUGGUGUAACUAUUGACAGAAUGUCUCUAAUGAAGCUGCAAAGAGCUCAGAGAGAAAGCCAUUGACUGGGAAUCAGAAGACUGGUUUUUAUUUUCAGCUCUGCCACAACCUGACCAUGAGAUCUCAAAUGGAACUUCUUUGGGCUUCAUUUUCACUGGCUAUAAACUAAAUGGUCUGGAAUCUCUAGUUCCAACAUUUCUUCUAUCAACAGUGUUCCAUGAUCCCAUGGUUCCUUAGUGUAGAGAUUAGUAACAUCCAACACAUCUUCUGGGCUCCUCUGCAUCCUUGUGUCAAUUUAAGACCAUCACUUUCCCACUCCCACCAAUUCCUUGUGCUCCAGCACCACCCGUAGGGCUCCCAGACCCUGCUGGUCCAAAUACAGGUAUCUAAUUGCUCCUCCUCACACCACUGUAGUGAGUCUCUGUGUUCUCCAUGGCAUGCUCCCAUCCAACUUCACCUGGGUGACAAGAGAUUGGUAGGUACUGAAAGGAUACACUGCAAGAAUUAGGAUGCUCUGCAUUCCAGUCUCAACUCUCUCCCCCAAAAGAAGCCCAGGUCCCUUUGAAAUGAUGCCACAUUUUCUACACAAGUGGCAAUAAUUAAACACUUAAUCAAAAGUUCUCUUUCUAUUGCAAUAACUUAUUUACUCAAAAAAAAAAAAAGACAAAGCUAGAGCUGAAAGGCAAUUUUUCACUUCAGGAGAAUUUGUCAAGUCUCUUACUACACUGCUGCAUAAGCUUGGCUUGGAGAGCCACAAUUUAUCAUCUGACCUUCGCUUGCUGAUACUGCCUUCAGGUCCGCAUUUCUGUGAGUAGCACACAGAUGGGCUCUGUGGGAUCUCACAAGAUCCAUCCAUACAAGUAGUGAACUCUCCAUUUCAGGAGCAAUGGACUAAUGAAUCAGGAAUCGCUCCACUUGGCACCCACGACGGUGGAAUAAUUCAUCACAGCCAACUACAGAGACUAUUACAUCAGGAAUAAAGAAAAGUGAGUGCCAAUUAAGCUUCUUGCUCAGACUAUUAAAGUUACAGCAUUAAUACUGCCCACAAAUCUUUCUAAUAGUUGAUUCAUCUGAAUUAUUGUAUAGUCCAUAGGAAAAGAAUGACAGAAAAAUUGAAUACUGGAUAUAAAAAAUGACAAACUUAUUUUGAUAACAUAUUUAAAAGCACCAUGCUUACUCUGAUGCAGAAGAUGCUAUUUAUAGCUUAAUUGUGUCAAAGAGUGAACAUUACAAUUAGCACUCUAUCCUUGCCACGUUUUUUUGUGAACUCUUCUAAGAUAAUUAGUAUGAUUGCCUAAGGCUGUGGGAGUAUAAAUGUCCUCUUUUUACUGCUGGAAAUGUUAUUGUUGUUGCUAUUUGGGUCAAGUAUCUUAAAACUUCCCAGAAAGGAUUUUUCAGAAAUAAUUCUGGGAGGCAAGUGAAGAAAUUGCCAGAG